CUAUUUCUGUAAGAUUAACCGUUUUUGAGAUAUCGACUAAAAAGUUGAAAGGUCAAAGGUCAAGGUCAACCUUAAAAACAUUUAAAACACACUAAAAAUCAUCAAAAUAAGGUCAAAAACACAUAAUUCGCUAUCUGGGACAUGACCUUGACCUUUGACCUUGUGACCUUUGUCAAGGUCAUUAGUCCCCAAUGUCAUUGCUGAAGACCCCAUGGGUCUAGGACCUUUGGUUAUAUAGUAAAAGCUGAUUUUGUCUUUUCAGAAACCUAAAUCAGGGGUUAUGCCCCUUACAGAAAGGUCAAAUCUCUUCGGUCAAAAUGUAACAAAGUUGCGCCAUAAUGACCCAAACAUUUUCCACUAUUUAAAACUUCUGUAAGUAUAAUGGUUUCUGAGAUUAUCCCAUAACAAGGUGUUAGGUCAAAGGUCAAGGUCAACAUACAAAUUUGACCUUGAGGUAUUUUUCAAAGAUACAUGAAUUGAUGAUGAUUGGUGAAGAUCCUAGGUGUCUACGACUUACGGUUUCUGAGUUUUGGUGGCCAACCGACACCGGUUAAUUUUCAUAGGGGCAUAACCCUACCAAUGAGUCGUUGAAUCUUUUCGAUCCAAAUGUAACGAAGAACCGGGGUCUGGUCCUGAACAAAUUUCACCCUUCGUUUUUUUUCUACCUAUUACGGUUACGGUGUUGGAACGAUAACAAGGUUUUUGGGUUUCGGAGGGAUUACUCCGAACCGACAAAAUAUUUCGACUCACAGGGUGAGUUCCGGAUAGGUAUUCAUGACACCGAUACAAAGUGUGAACAUGAAAGCGACACGUCUUACGGUUAACGGCGGCUAAUUUGUCAAAGUUUGGCGGAAGAAUAAUAAUAAUAAUUAAAAUGUCAAUUGUUCUUGAACAAUUGAGAGGUCUUUCCUUUUCGAAAUGUAAAGUACAUGUUCCAAUAGGCGUAGAAUGCAUUGAAAAGCUCUCAAACACACAUAAAACCGUUAAAAAAUGACAAAAAACAACAAAUUCGAUAAUUUGGACAUGACCUUGACUUUUGACCUUGUAACCUUUGUGAAGGUCAUUGGUCCACAAUGUCAUUGUAAAAGACCCCAUGGGUCUAGGACUUUUCGUUCAAGAGUUAAAGCUAAUUUUACCUUUUCAGAAACCGUUAACGGGGUUAUGCCCCUUAAGAAUAUGUCAAAUCCUUUCGGUCAAAAUGUAAAAAAGUUGUGCCUCAGUCACCUUAAACAUUUUUCACUGUUUACUAUUUCUGUAAGAUUAACCGUUUUUGAGAUAUCGACUAAAAAGUUGAAAGGUCAAAGGUCAAGGUCAACCUUAAAAACAUUUAAAACACACUAAAAAUCCUUAAAAUAAGGUCAAAAACACAUAAUUCGCUAUCUGGGACAUGACCUUGACCUUUGACCUUGUGACCUUUGUCAAGGUCAUUAGUCCCAAUGUCAUUGCUGAAGACCCCAUGGGUCUAGGACCUUUGGUUAUAUAGUAAAAGCUGAUUUUGUCUUUUCAGAAACCUAAAUCAGGGGUUAUGCCCCUUACAGAAAGGUCAAAUCUCUUCGGUCAAAAUGUAACAAAGUUGCGCCUUAAUGACCCAAACAUUUUCCACUAUUUAAAACUUCUGUAAGUAUAAUGGUUUCUGAGAUUAUCCCAUAACAAGGUGUUAGGUCAAAGGUCAAGGUCAACAUACACAAUUUGACCUUGAGGUAUUUUUCAAAGAUCACAUGAAUUGAUGAUGAAUUGGUGAAGAUCCUAGGUGUCUACGACUUACGGUUUCUGAGUUUUGGUGGCCAACCGACACCGGUUAAUUUUCAUAGGGGCAUAACCCUACCAAUGAGUCGUUGAAUCUUUUCGAUCCAAAUGUAACGAAGAACCGGGGUCUGGUCCUGAACAAAUUUCACCCUUCGUUUUUUUUCUACCUAUUACGGUUACGGUGUUGGAACGAUAACAAGGUUUUUGGUUUCGGAGGGAUUACUCCGAACCGACAAAAUAUUUCGACUCACAGGGUGAGUUCCGGAUAGGUAUUCAUGACACCGAUACAAAGUGUGAACAUGAAAGCGACACGUCUUACGGUUAACGCGGCUAAAUUUGUCAAAGUUUGGCGGAAGAAUAAUAAUAAUAAUAAACAGAAGAAAUACAGUAAGGUCUUUCCCUUUAUAGAAAAAGGAAAGACCUUAAUUAAAAUGUCAAUUGUUCUUGAACAAUUGAGAGGUCUUUCCUUUUGUAAUGUAAAAUACAUGUUCCAAUAGACGUAGAAUGUAUUGAAAAGCUUUAAAACACACUGAAAAAUCCUUUAAAUAAGGUCAAAAACACAUAAUUCGCUAUAUGGGACAUGACCUUGACCUUUGACCUUUUGACCUUUGUCAAGGUCAUUAGUCCCCAAUGUCAUUGCUGAAGACCCCAUGGGUCUAGGACCUUUGGUUAUAUAGUAAAAGCUGAUUUUGUCUUUUCAGAAACCUAAAACAGGGGUUAUGCCCCUUAUAAAAAGGUCAAAUCUCUUCGGUCAAAAUGUAACAAAGUUGCGCCUUAAUGACCCAAACAUUUUCCACUAUUUAAAACUUCUGUAAGUAUAAUGGUUUCUGAGAUUAUCCCAUAACAAGGUGUUAGGUCAAAGGUCAAGGUCAACAUACAAAUUUGACCUUGAGGUAUUUUUCAAAGAUACAUGAAUU
This 2663-nucleotide long non-coding RNA is filed under the name Mytilus galloprovincialis (Mediterranean mussel). Lineage: Eukaryota; Metazoa; Mollusca; Bivalvia; Mytilida; Mytilidae. The record is from RNAcentral.